AGCGAACGCUGGCGGCAGGCUUAACACAUGCAAGUCGAGCGGACCUUUCGGGGUCAGCGGCGGACGGGUGAGUAACGCGUGGGAACGUUCCUUCCGGUUCGGAAUAACCCUGGGAAACUAGGGCUAAUACCGGAUACGCCCUUAUGGGGAAAGGUUUACUGCCCGAAGAUCGGCCCGCGUCUGAUUAGCUAGUUGGUGGGGUAACGGCCUACCAAGGCGACGAUCAGUAGCUGGUCUGAGAGGAUGAUCAGCCACACUGGGACUGAGACACGGCCCAGACUCCUACGGGAGGCAGCAGUGGGGAAUAUUGGACAAUGGGCGCAAGCCUGAUCCAGCCAUGCCGCGUGAGUGAUGAAGGCCUUAGGGUUGUAAAGCUCUUUUAUCCGGGACGAUAAUGACGGUACCGGAGGAAUAAGCCCCGGCUAACUUCGUG
RNAcentral lists this ribosomal RNA (433 nucleotides) under uncultured bacterium. RNAcentral describes it as "partial 16S ribosomal RNA". It matches the Rfam family "Bacterial small subunit ribosomal RNA", at positions 29 to 507 of the family's 1533-position model. The record is from RNAcentral.